CUAGUAUAAGCAAUUAUACCGCGAAACUGCGAAUGGCUCAUUAAAUCAGUUAUCGUUUAUUUGAUAGUACCUUACUACAUGGAUAACCGUGGUAAUUCUAGAGCUAAUACAUGCUAAAAAUCCCGACUUCGGAAGGGAUGUAUUUAUUAGAUUAAAAACCAAUGCCCUUCGGGGCUCUCUGGUGAUUCAUAAUAACUUCUCGAAUCGCACGGCCUUGCGCCGGCGAUGGUUCAUUCAAAUUUCUGCCCUAUCAACUUUCGACGGCUGGGUCUUGGCCAGCCAUGGUGACAACGGGUAACGGAGGGUUAGGGCUCGACCCCGGAGAAGGAGCCUGAGAAACGGCUACUACAUCCAAGGAAGGCAGCAGGCGCGCAAAUUACCCAAUCCCGACUCGGGGAGGUAGUGACAAUAAAUACUGAUACAGGGCUCUUUUGGGUCUUGUAAUUGGAAUGAGUACAAUUUAAAUCCCUUAACGAGGAACAAUUGGAGGGCAAGUCUGGUGCCAGCAGCCGCGGUAAUUCCAGCUCCAAUAGCGUAUAUUAAAGUUGUUGCAGUUAAAAAGCUCGUAGUUGAACCUUGGGCCUGGCUGGCCGGUCCGCCUCACCGCGUGCACUGGUCCGGCCGGGCCUUUCCCUCUGGGGAACCGCAUGCCCUUCACUGGGUGUGUCGGGGAACCAGGACUUUUACUUUGAACAAAUUAGAUCGCUUAAAGAAGGCCUAUGCUCGAAUACAUUAGCAUGGAAUAAUAGAAUAGGACGUGUGGUUCUAUUUUGUUGGUUUCUAGGACCGCCGUAAUGAUUAAUAGGGACAGUCGGGGGCAUCAGUAUUCAAUUGUCAGAGGUGAAAUUCUUGGAUUUAUUGAAGACUAACUACUGCGAAAGCAUUUGCCAAGGAUGUUUUCAUUAAUCAGGAACGAAAGUUAGGGGAUCGAAGACGAUCAGAUACCGUCGUAGUCUUAACCAUAAACUAUGCCGACUAGGGAUCGGACGAUGUUAUAUUUGACUCGUUCGGCACCUUACACGAAGUAAAGUUUCUGGGUUCUGGGGGAGUAU
RNAcentral lists this ribosomal RNA (1052 nucleotides) under Coniochaeta marina. RNAcentral describes it as "SSU rRNA". It matches the Rfam family "Eukaryotic small subunit ribosomal RNA", at positions 60 to 1126 of the family's 1831-position model. Lineage: Eukaryota; Fungi; Ascomycota; Sordariomycetes; Coniochaetales; Coniochaetaceae. The record is from RNAcentral.